This 253-nucleotide ribosomal RNA is filed under the name uncultured bacterium. Its description in RNAcentral is "partial 16S ribosomal RNA". It matches the Rfam family "Bacterial small subunit ribosomal RNA", at positions 524 to 776 of the family's 1533-position model. The record is from RNAcentral.
UACAGAGGUCUCAAGCGUUGUUCGGAUUCAUUGGGCGUAAAGGGUGCGUAGGCGGCGCGGUAAGUCGGGUGUGAAAUCUUGGAGCUUAACUCCGAAACUGCAUUCGAUACUGCGGUGCUUGAGGACUGGAGAGGAGACUGGAAUUCAUGGUGUAGCAGUGAAAUGCGUAGAGAUCAUGAGGAAGACCAGUGGCGAAGGCGGGUCUCUGGGACGGUACUGACGCUGAGACGCGAAAGCGUGGGGAGCGAACAGG